This 98-nucleotide signal recognition particle RNA is filed under the name Gammaproteobacteria bacterium. Its description in RNAcentral is "signal recognition particle sRNA small type". It matches the Rfam family "Bacterial small signal recognition particle RNA". Rfam says of the family: The signal recognition particle (SRP) is a universally conserved ribonucleoprotein involved in the co-translational targeting of proteins to membranes. Archaeal SRP consists of a 7S RNA and homologues of the eukaryotic SRP19 and SRP54 proteins. The record is from RNAcentral. Lineage: Bacteria; Pseudomonadati; Pseudomonadota; Gammaproteobacteria.
CACCGGCGUCUCCGCGACGAUCAGCUGUGAAUCCCGCCAGGCCCGGAAGGGAGCAACGGUAGCGGCAACGAUCGGGUGCCGGAGGAGUGCUGGUGCGG